RNAcentral lists this ribosomal RNA (307 nucleotides) under uncultured bacterium. RNAcentral's name for it is "partial 16S ribosomal RNA". It matches the Rfam family "Bacterial small subunit ribosomal RNA", at positions 506 to 807 of the family's 1533-position model. The record is from RNAcentral.
AGACAGCAGCAGCCACGGUAAUACGUAGGGUGCAAGCGUUAAUCGGAAUUACUGGGCGUAAAGCGUGCGCAGGCGGUUUGUUAAGACAGAUGUGAAAUCCCCGGGCUCAACCUGGGAACUGCAUUUGUGACUGGCAAGCUAGAGUGUGGCAGAGGGGGGUGGAAUUCCGCGUGUAGCAGUGAAAUGCGCAGAUAUGCGGAGGAACACCGAUGGCGAAGGCAGCCCCCUGGGCCAACACUGACGCUCAUGCACGAAAGCGUGGGGAGCAAACAGGAUUAGAUACCCGUGUAGUCCCUGUCUCUUAUAC